GGGGGCGUGGUGGAACGGUAGACACGAACGACUCAAAAUCGUUUGCCUUCACAGGCUUGCCGGUUCGAGUCCGGCCGCCCCUA
Molecule: transfer RNA, 83 nt
Filed under: Roseomonas mucosa
Lineage: Bacteria; Pseudomonadati; Pseudomonadota; Alphaproteobacteria; Acetobacterales; Roseomonadaceae
Rfam family: tRNA
About the family: Transfer RNA (tRNA) molecules are approximately 80 nucleotides in length. Their secondary structure includes four short double-helical elements and three loops (D, anti-codon, and T loops).
Source: Rfam by way of RNAcentral